This 458-nucleotide ribosomal RNA is filed under the name uncultured bacterium. RNAcentral's name for it is "partial 16S ribosomal RNA". It matches the Rfam family "Bacterial small subunit ribosomal RNA", at positions 338 to 795 of the family's 1533-position model. The record is from RNAcentral.
CCUACGGGCGGCAGCAGUGAGGAAUAUUGGUCAAUGGCCGGAAGGCUGAACCAGCCAUGCCGCGUGAAGGUCAGUGCCCUAUGGGCGUUAAACUUCUUUUGUGCGGGAGCAAUAAUGGUCACGUGUGGCCAGACGAGAGUACCGUACGAAUAAGCAUCGGCUAACUCCGUGCCAGCAGCCGCGGUAAUACGGGGGAUGCAAGCGUUAUUCGGAUUUAUUGGGUUUAAAGGGUGCGCAGGCGGCGAGUUAAGUCAGCGGUAAAAUUUCGGGGGUCAACCCCGACAAGCCGUUGAAAAUGGCUUGCGAGAGUGGGCGAGAAGUAUGCGGAAUGCGUGGUGUAGCGGUGAAAUGCAUAGAUAUCACGCAGAACUCCGAUUGCGAAGGCAGCAUACCGGCGCCCAACUGACGCUCAGGCACGAAAGCGUGGGUAUCGAACAGGAUUAGAUACCCUGGUAGUC